UGAAGGGCAGUAUCUUAGGGCCGAG
RNAcentral lists this unclassified non-coding RNA (25 nucleotides) under Mus musculus (house mouse). Its description in RNAcentral is "oocyte_clustered_small_RNA5400". Lineage: Eukaryota; Metazoa; Chordata; Mammalia; Rodentia; Muridae. The record is from RNAcentral.